RNAcentral lists this ribosomal RNA (371 nucleotides) under uncultured Alphaproteobacteria bacterium. RNAcentral's name for it is "bacterial SSU rRNA". It matches the Rfam family "Bacterial small subunit ribosomal RNA", at positions 9 to 407 of the family's 1533-position model. Lineage: Bacteria; Pseudomonadati; Pseudomonadota; Alphaproteobacteria. The record is from RNAcentral.
GAGUUUGAUCAUGGCUCAGAACGAACGCUGGCGGCAGGCUUAACACAUGCAAGUCGAACGGUUGUAGCAAUACAGCAGUGGCGCACGGGUGAGUAAUACUUGGGAACGUGCCUUUCAGUCUGGGAUAACGUCGGGAAACUGACGCUAAUACCGGAUACUCCCUCCGGGGGAAAGUUUUUCGCUGAAAGAUCGGCCCAAGCCAGAUUAGCUAGUUGGUGAGGUAAUGGCUCACCAAGGCUACGAUCUGUAGCUGGUCUGAGAGGACGGCCAGCCACACUGGAACUGAGACACGGUCCAGACUCCUACGGGAGGCAGCAGUGGGGAAUAUUGGACAAUGGGGGAAACCCUGAUCCAGCCAUGCCGCGUGAGUG